Molecule: ribosomal RNA, 552 nt
Filed under: Penicillium sp. 2 IFS-2015
Lineage: Eukaryota; Fungi; Ascomycota; Eurotiomycetes; Eurotiales; Aspergillaceae
Description: eukaryotic LSU rRNA
Rfam family: 5.8S ribosomal RNA (bases 189-341)
Source: RNAcentral
GAAGGAUCAUUACCGAGUGAGGGCCCUCUGGGUCCAACCUCCCACCCGUGUUUAUUUUACCUUGUUGCUUCGGCGGGCCCGCCUUAACUGGCCGCCGGGGGGCUUACGCCCCCGGGCCCGCGCCCGCCGAAGACACCCUCGAACUCUGUCUGAAGAUUGUAGUCUGAGUGAAAAUAUAAAUUAUUUAAAACUUUCAACAACGGAUCUCUUGGUUCCGGCAUCGAUGAAGAACGCAGCGAAAUGCGAUACGUAAUGUGAAUUGCAAAUUCAGUGAAUCAUCGAGUCUUUGAACGCACAUUGCGCCCCCUGGUAUUCCGGGGGGCAUGCCUGUCCGAGCGUCAUUUCUGCCCUCAAGCACGGCUUGUGUGUUGGGCCCCGUCCUCCGAUCCCGGGGGACGGGCCCGAAAGGCAGCGGCGGCACCGCGUCCGGUCCUCGAGCGUAUGGGGCUUUGUCACCCGCUCUGUAGGCCCGGCCGGCGCUUGCCGAUCAACCCAAAUUUUUAUCCAGGUUGACCUCGGAUCAGGUAGGGAUACCCGCUGAACUUAAGCAUA